UCCCUCCCUGUGGUCCUGUCACGCGCGAGGGGCGCCCCCGGGAUCUCGAGGACCACAGGAUCGUCCGCGCGCUGCCCGAAGCCCCCGCGCGACCCACGCUCGUGGAGCCCGGGGUAUAUUGGUUUGAAAAGGGAACCUCACAAGCAACCCAAGAGUGAAGUCUGAUAAGAAAAAUCAGCUGCUGGAGCAGCCAUGCCCCACUUCUUGGAUUGGUUCGUGCCAGUAUAUCUGAUGAUCUCCAUUCUCAUCUUGGUGGGCUUCGGAGCUUGCAUAUACUACUUUGAGCCGGGCCUACAGGAGGCCCACAAGUGGCGGACGCAAAGACCGAUCGUGGAACGAGACCUUCGAAAAACACUGAUGAUACGGGAUAACCUUGCCUUUGGGGUGCCUGAGGUCUAGUAUUCUGCGUGUAGGGUGUUUCUAGAGAAACAGCCAAACAGAGCCUUUUCUGGAUGGGCCCUGGCUAACAAGGUUUGGUCUGGAUGCACGUUUCUCCUCACUCAGGAGAGAAUCUUCUACUGCCUAGUGACUGAAGAAGGGUAGUUUUAUUCUUUGCUGACAUGGGUCUCUGUUAAUCACCAGAGUUACCUCUUUUUUUUCCGUCUUCUUCUCCCUUUCUAAGGCAAGGUUUGUGUACCUCUGUUAACUCAAGGCUUUCAGGUCUACUCUAGACAAGAUAUUCGUCACUCAGCAAAGGAUCUCCUGCACCACUCCAUGACUUGGAUUUUUGGAUCCACCAAAGGUAAAGGUCUCUGUUAUUCAUUAUCCAAUGGAGGAUACCUGCACCUAUACAUUACCUUCAAAAAAAAAAAACCUUAUGGGCACCAGAUAAUAACAGAUAGACUGGAUAUGGGACAUAGAUCUUUUUACUGCUAGGUCACUGGUUUAAAUCUCACCCAAUUUGCUAGGGUCUGAAAGGUGUUAUUAUUGAAUGCCUCUUUGGUGACUUACGUAAAGUGAAUUUGAUGGGUCUCAGUCCAGUUCUUUGUGUACAACUGUGCACAUCACAGAAAUCACCAAUGCCACUGAAUUACCAUCUGUUCUGGGAGUCUCAUUAGAGAGGCCACGGAUUGAAUAAGCCAUGGAGAGUGAAUUCCUUACUCACCACUAGAGGUGAUUUUUCAAGCUCUGGAGUGAGAGACACAGGAGGGGCAAAUGGAGUAAAGAUUGGUUCUUUAUUGGUGCCCAUUUGUACUUGUUUGGAGGAUAGAGGACUUCAGUCUCCAGGGCUGUCAAUCUAGUACUUUUAUAGAAUUGUAGACGAUUAGGAUUAGAAGAGACCUCAGGAGGUCAUCUAGUCCAAUCCCCUGCUCAGAGCAGGACCAACUUUCACGAGUACUAAAUUCACACACAAUUUUCAGCUAAGAAGGUCUGUGUGGAUCCUGCCAGGAAAUCUCUUGCACCUCUCCUUGACCCAGGGCUCUGGAUUUAUCGCAUAGGCCUCAACAGAUUCAUUACUAGACAUUGGAUCUUCUGCACCUGUCCAUGAUCCAGGAAAUCAAGGGUCCUUUAUUAUAAAUAGAUUUGCACUCAUUCAGUCCUCUGUUCUACAGCAUUUUUUGAAAUAGAUCCCUUAGUGCAUCAGUUCUGGUGCUGCACCCUCUUGACUGUCAUUCACACUGAAAACUGUGAAAUGCUCCUUGGAGAACCCUUCACUGUGAAUCUCUGGAAAGGGACGCUGAGCCAGACAGGUGGAGAUGGGGCACUACUAAUGGCUGUGCUUUCUAGAUCCCACCUGUAUAUCAUAUAAUGUGUAUAUGUACACUGUUUUUGCACUUUCCUCCACGCUUCCCCAGGGCUGAUUUGCUAACAAAGUACUGUAAGAAAAUGUGACUCCAUGGGAGAGUGGGAAUCCAGCACCUUUUUCUUCAUUGCGAACAGUGUGCAAAUCAUAGCAGAUAACACUGGCCCAACUCAGAGUCUAUGACUUGAGGUAUUCCACAGCAGGUACUACUGUGCCACACCUGCUUAGAACUCUAGUAAGACAAUGGCUCCUGUUCCAUGGUGCAUUUUAUCUCUGAUCCAUCAUGCCCCUUCCUGUUUCUUACUUACUCUGCCAACCAGCCCCAUUGUCCUUAUUUCUAUACAUUAUAUAUUAUAAAACUCCACUGUUGACCAGUCAUGCCCAGUUAUCUACAUUCCAUACAGUACCACUGUCAUAUGGCACCACCGUGCCAUUGUCAGUGCAUUCCAUACCAGUGCAGCACAGUCAUGGCCACCCUUUGAUAUACCCUGCUGCGUAUUUGGUGAUAUUAUUACACAGUCAUUGUUGCCCUAUGGGAACCCUUCUGUACAUUCUAUACCGGGGUAGGCAACCUAUGGCAUGCAUGCCAAAGGCGGCACACAAGCUGAUUUUCAG
Molecule: long non-coding RNA, 2359 nt
Organism: Gopherus evgoodei (Goodes thornscrub tortoise)
Lineage: Eukaryota; Metazoa; Chordata; Testudines; Testudinidae
Exons: 3
Source: RefSeq, a predicted model, not a curated record